This 373-nucleotide unclassified non-coding RNA is filed under the name Hevea brasiliensis (rubber tree). The record is from RNAcentral. Lineage: Eukaryota; Viridiplantae; Streptophyta; Magnoliopsida; Malpighiales; Euphorbiaceae.
AAUGCAAGCAAGUUGGGUCUGAAGGAUGAGGAAAUGCUGAGGAGUGUAGAUAAAAGCAUUAAAGACGUAUACUUCAGAGCUGCAACUUUGAUGGCGAUAGCUGUGCUGAAGCUUGCAUGAUCAUGGAGUGGGUAUAAUGUCUCGAGUCUUGACACAUAAAAGCCGAUGGUUUGAAUAACAUAAAGGCCCAUGACUAUGACUGUAAAUUAUGUAGCCAAUAGUCAUGUUAAAGCUAUGAUUAGAGGGCUCAUUCUUAUUGCAAUUGCAAGUUUGUCUCAGACUGGCAAGCUGAAGUCAUAUCUGAUAAGAGACGGGAAACCUUAACAUGGGGUUGAGCUCCAAUGAGACUGAGCUGUGUCCCAUAAUCGGUUAG